GACGAACGCUGGCGGCGUGCUUAACACAUGCAAGUCGAACGAUGACGACCGAGCUUGCUCGGUCUGAUUAGUGGCGAACGGGUGAGUAACACGUGAGCAACCUUCCCUUCACUCUGGGAUAACCUCGGGAAAUCGGGGCUAAUACCGGAUAUGAGCUCCUGUCGCAUGGCGGGUGUUGGAAAGUUUUUCGGUGAAGGAUGGGCUCGAGGCCUAUCUGUUUGUUGGUGUGGUAGUGGCUCACCAAGGCGAUGCCGGGUAGCCGGCCUGAGAGGGCGACCGGCCACACUGGGACUGAGACACGGCCCAGACUCCUACGGGAGGCAGCAGUGGGGAAUAUUGCACAAUGGGCGAAAGCCUGAUGCAGCGACGCCGCGUGAGGGAUGACGGCCUUCGGGUUGUAAACCUCUUUCAGCAGGGAAGAAGCGAAAGUGACGGUACCUGCAGAAGAAGCGCCGGCUAACUACGUG
This 467-nucleotide ribosomal RNA is filed under the name uncultured bacterium. Its description in RNAcentral is "partial 16S ribosomal RNA". It matches the Rfam family "Bacterial small subunit ribosomal RNA", at positions 28 to 507 of the family's 1533-position model. The record is from RNAcentral.